AGGCGUGUCUGUGUUUGAUUGACAGCAGCUGGCAGGUUGAGCUACAGCAGGUGAAGGAAAUGAGAGAAGCAGUGGUAUGAAAGAGUGAGGACCUCACCAGCUUCUAAACGUCUCCAGUGUAUCGGUCACAGACGAGGUUGGUCGGACAGGAGCAGGUCUGAGUGCAGAACGGACCAAAACGACCUGGACUACAGGCUGGAAAACACAAGCUGGCUGACGACAACACUCACUGUUCUGACAGGUGACUCCCCAGUAGCCUGGGCGACACACACACGCUCCAGUUUCCCUCACACACGUGUCACUGUUUGGGCAAUGCUUGAAACAGGUCUGGUUACAGUGGCGCCCC
Long non-coding RNA from Sebastes umbrosus (honeycomb rockfish), 346 nucleotides. RefSeq lists it as uncharacterized. The record is from RefSeq and is a predicted model, not a curated record. Lineage: Eukaryota; Metazoa; Chordata; Actinopteri; Perciformes; Sebastidae. The transcript has 3 exons.